RNAcentral lists this ribosomal RNA (373 nucleotides) under uncultured bacterium. RNAcentral describes it as "bacterial SSU rRNA". It matches the Rfam family "Bacterial small subunit ribosomal RNA", at positions 525 to 896 of the family's 1533-position model. The record is from RNAcentral.
ACGUAGGGUGCGAGCGUUAAUCGGAAUUACUGGGCGUAAAGCGUGCGCAGGCGGCGGCACAAGUCAGGUGUGAAAUCCCCGGGCUUAACCUGGGAAUUGCGCUUGAAACUAGGUCGCUAGAGUGUGGCAGAGGGGGGUGGAAUUCCACGUGUAGCAGUGAAAUGCGUAGAGAUGUGGAGGAACACCGAUGGCGAAGGCAGCCCCCUGGGUCAACACUGACGCUCAGGCACGAAAGCGUGGGGAGCAAACAGGAUUAGAUACCCUGGUAGUCCACGCCCUAAACGAUGCGAACUAGGUGUUGGGGAAGGAGACUUCCUUAGUACCGCAGCUAACGCGUGAAGUUCGCCGCCUGGGGAGUACGGUCGCAAGAUUA